GGAACAUUACUGACGCUGAGGCGCGAAAGCGUGGGGAGCAAACAGGAUUAGAUACCCUGGUAGUCCACGCCCUAAACGAUGAAUGUUAGUCGUCGGGUAGCUAGUCUAUUCGGUGAUGCAGCUAACGCAUUAAACAUUCCGCCUGGGGAGUACGGUCACAAGAUUAAAACUCAAAGGAAUAGACGGGGACCCGCACAAGUGGUGGAGCAUGUGGUUUAAUUCGAAGAUACGCGAAGAACCUUACCUAGCCUUGACAUAUAUUAGAACACUUUAGAGAUAGAGUGGUGCCUUCGGGAGCUUUUAUACAGGUGCUGCACGGCUGUCGUCAGCUCGUGUCGUGAGAUGUUGGGUUAAGUCCCGCAACGAGCGCAACCCUCGUCACUAGUUACUAACGGUUCGGCCGAGGACUCUAGUGAGACUGCCUUCGUAAGGAGGAGGAAGGUGAGGACGACGUCAAGUCAUCAUGGCCCUUACGGCUAGGGCAACACACGUGCUACAAUGGCCAGGACAGUGAGAAGCGAUACCGCGAGGUGGAGCAAAUCUAUAAACCUGGUCUCAGUUCGGAUUGUAGUCUGCAACUCGACUACAUGAAGCUGGAAUCACUAGUAAUCGUAGAUCAGCUAUGCUACGGUGAAUACGUUCCCGGGUCUUGUACUCACCGCCCGUCACACCAUGGGAGUUGAUUUCACCCGAAGCGGGGAAGCUAAACUGGCUACCCUCCACGGUGGAAUUAGCGACUGGGGUG
RNAcentral lists this ribosomal RNA (745 nucleotides) under uncultured bacterium. Its description in RNAcentral is "bacterial SSU rRNA". It matches the Rfam family "Bacterial small subunit ribosomal RNA", at positions 731 to 1482 of the family's 1533-position model. The record is from RNAcentral.